CUACGGGGCGCUGCAGUAAGGAAUAUUGCGCAAUGGAGGCAACUCUGACGCAGCCAUGCCGCGUGCAGGAAGAAGGCCUUAUGGGUCGUAAACUGCUUUUAUUUAGGAAUAAACCCCCAAACGUGUUCGGGGCUGAAGGUACUAAACGAAUAAGCACCGGCUAACUCCGUGCCAGCAGCCGCGGUAAUACGGAGGGUGCAAGCGUUAUCCGGAUUUAUUGGGUUUAAAGGGUGCGCAGGCGGGCUAUUAAGUCAGUGGUGAAAUCCCGGGGCUCAACUCCGGAACUGCCAUUGAUACUGAUAGUCUUGAGUUUGGUUGAAGUGGGCGGAAUGUAGCAUGUAGCGGUGAAAUGCAUAGAUAUGCUACAGAACACCAAUCGCGAAGGCAGCUCACUAAGCCAAAACUGACGCUCAUGCACGAAAGCGUGGGGAUCAAACAGGAUUAGAUACCCUUGUAGUC
Molecule: ribosomal RNA, 459 nt
Filed under: uncultured bacterium
Lineage: Bacteria
Description: partial 16S ribosomal RNA
Rfam family: Bacterial small subunit ribosomal RNA
Source: RNAcentral